This 488-nucleotide ribosomal RNA is filed under the name uncultured bacterium. Its description in RNAcentral is "bacterial SSU rRNA". It matches the Rfam family "Bacterial small subunit ribosomal RNA", at positions 56 to 518 of the family's 1533-position model. The record is from RNAcentral.
UGCAAGUCGAACGGUCUUUCUAUGGAAGCUUGCUUCCACUGAGAAGAUAGUGGCGAACGGGUGAGUAACACGUGGGUAACCUGCCCAUAAGAGGGGGAUAACAUCCGGAAACGGGUGCUAAUACCGCAUAGUUUCUUGAUCGCAUGAUCGGGAAAGGAAAGACGGCCUUUGUGCUGUCGCUUAUGGAUGGACCCGCGGCGUAUUAGUUAGUUGGUGAGGUAACGGCUCACCAAGACGAUGAUACGUAGCCGACCUGAGAGGGUGAUCGGCCACAUUGGGACUGAGACACGGCCCAAACUCCUACGGGAGGCAGCAGUAGGGAAUCUUCCGCAAUGGACGAAAGUCUGACGGAGCAACGCCGCGUGAGUGAAGAAAGGUUUUCGGAUCGUAAAACUCUGUUGUCAGAGAAGAACAAGUUGGAGAGUAACUGCUCCAGCCUUGACGGUAUCUGACCAGAAAGCCACGGCUAACUACGUGCCAGCCGCCGC